GACGAACGCUGGCGGCGUGCUUAGCACAUGCAAGUCGAACGGAAAGGCCCUGCUUUUGUGGGGUGCUCGAGUGGCGAACGGGUGAGUAACACGUGAGUAACCUGCCCUUGACUUUGGGAUAACUUCAGGAAACUGGGGCUAAUACCGGAUAGGAGCUCCUGCUGCAUGGUGGGGGUUGGAAAGUUUCGGCGGUUGGGGAUGGACUCGCGGCUUAUCAGCUUGUUUGUGGGGUAGUGGCUUACCAAGGCUUUGACGGGUAGCCGGCCUGAGAGGGUGACCGGCCACAUUGGGACUGAGAUACGGCCCAGACUCCUACGGGAGGCAGCAGUGGGGAAUAUUGCACAAUGGGCGGAAGCCUGAUGCAGCAACGCCGCGUGCGGGAUGACGGCCUUCGGGUUGUAAACCGCUUUCGCCUGUGACGAAGCGUGAGUGACGGUAAUGGGUAAAGAAGCAACGGCUAACUACGUG
This 468-nucleotide ribosomal RNA is filed under the name uncultured bacterium. RNAcentral describes it as "partial 16S ribosomal RNA". It matches the Rfam family "Bacterial small subunit ribosomal RNA", at positions 28 to 507 of the family's 1533-position model. The record is from RNAcentral.